AAGUCGUAACAAGGUUUCCGUAGGUGAACCUGCGGAAGGAUCAUUAAUGAAGUCUGGGUGUCAAAACCCUCUCUCUUCUACACACUUGUGAACUUACACUGUUGCUUUGGUAGGUUUCCUGACGGGUUUCAAACCCUGACGGUCAGGUCGAAAGACGCCUGCCAAAGACAUUUAUCCACCCUUUUUUAUCGUCUGAUUUUUGUUUUAAACAAAUAUAAAAAA
This 222-nucleotide unclassified non-coding RNA is filed under the name plant metagenome. RNAcentral describes it as "partial contains small subunit ribosomal RNA and internal transcribed spacer 1". The stretch from base 1 to 46 matches the Rfam family "Eukaryotic small subunit ribosomal RNA", at positions 1786 to 1831 of the family's 1831-position model. The record is from RNAcentral.